RNAcentral lists this ribosomal RNA (328 nucleotides) under uncultured eukaryote. Its description in RNAcentral is "partial 18S ribosomal RNA". It matches the Rfam family "Eukaryotic small subunit ribosomal RNA", at positions 1470 to 1796 of the family's 1831-position model. The record is from RNAcentral.
CCCUUAGAUGUCCUGGGCCGCACGCGCGUUACACUGAUGCAUUCAACGAGCUUAUAACCUUGGCCGAGAGGCCUGGGCAAUCUUGUUAACGUGCAUCGUGAUAGGGAUAGAUUAUUGAAAUUAUUAAUCUUGAACGAGGAAUUCCUAGUAAACGCAGAUCACCAAUCUGCAUUGAUUACGUCCCUGCCCUUUGUACACACCGCCCGUCGCACCUACCGAUUGGAUGGUCCGGUGAAGCCUCGGGAUUGUGGUUCUUGCCGCUUUAUUGUGGCGUGACCGCGAGAACUUGUCUAAACCUUAUCAUCUAGAGGAAGGUGAAGUCGUAACA